Molecule: ribosomal RNA, 621 nt
Filed under: Triticum aestivum (bread wheat)
Lineage: Eukaryota; Viridiplantae; Streptophyta; Magnoliopsida; Poales; Poaceae
Description: partial small subunit ribosomal RNA
Source: RNAcentral
AUGAAUGCUUCUAAGAUGACUGAUGUUGAGCGUGAGGCUGUCGUUAGUGGUGGAUAUGAUGCUCAUGGUGUUCCAUUGAGUAGUGGGCGCGAUGUUGGUGCCAAAGUUGCUGAUGAGGAUGUUGCUGCUGCUAGCAUACUUGAUGUCAAACCACCUAGGAAUGUUGGGAAUGAAAAUCUUUCUGGUUUUGAAGAUUUGUCGCUGGAAAAUUUCCCGCCUGGAGGGCUUGAUUACGGUGAUGCAUUGCAAGAUGCUUCUAGCGUGGAGGAGGAACUACCGUCGUCGUCAAACACUGAUAGUGCAGAAAGUGGAAAUGUUGUUAAGGUUGAUAUGUUUUUCUUCGCUGUUACGAGGUUAGGCACGAACCGUACGAAAUGUCACAAGCCAAUGUUUCAAAAUAAAGAAUGUGAUGCCAGUCUUGGUUCUAUUUCUAAAGCGUUUGUCCCCACUGGCAUGCUCAACUCAGACAGUGUUGUUGUUGUCUUAUAUUCUCUACGUCAGAAGUACCGAGACACAGACAAGUUGAUAGUUCCCAGAUGGGUGACGCUUCUCUUCCCUACUUUUGAUCCAUCGUCCAUUGCGGCUACCAUGAAGCCUAGCGAAGUAUCUGGGCAGUGGUGA